UAGGGAAUCUUGGGCAAUGGGCGCAAGCCUGACCCAGCCAUGCCGCGUGUGCGAAGAAGGCCCUAGGGUUGUAAAGCACUUUCAGUCGCGAAGAAAAGCUUAAAGUUAAUACCUUUGAGUCUUGACGUUAACGACAGAAGAAGCACCGGCUAACUCCGUGCCAGCAGCCGCGGUAAUACGGAGGGUGCGAACGUUAAUCGGAAUUACUGGGCGUAAAGCGCGCGUAGGCGGUUUGUUAAGUGGGAUGUGAAAGCCCCGGGCUCAACCUGGGAACUGCAUUCCAAACUGGCAGACUAGAGUAUGGUAGAGGGUGGUAGAAUUUCCUGUGUAGCGGUGAAAUGCGUAGAUAUAGGAAGGAAUACCGAUGGCGAAGGCAGCCACCUGGACCAAUACUGACGCUGAGGUGCGAAGGCGUGGGGAGCAAACAGG
This 429-nucleotide ribosomal RNA is filed under the name uncultured bacterium. RNAcentral describes it as "bacterial SSU rRNA". It matches the Rfam family "Bacterial small subunit ribosomal RNA", at positions 355 to 776 of the family's 1533-position model. The record is from RNAcentral.